Molecule: long non-coding RNA, 1055 nt
Filed under: Chinchilla lanigera (long-tailed chinchilla)
Lineage: Eukaryota; Metazoa; Chordata; Mammalia; Rodentia; Chinchillidae
Description: lncRNA (ENSCLAG00000028200.1)
Source: RNAcentral
AAUUCCAUUCACAUUAAUUUUAAUGUGUGUGUACAUAUGUCACCCAGUCUUUUUUCCCCUUGGGUGAUUUUCAAAACUCUGCCAUAAAAACAAACAAAAACAAGGAAGGACAAGCCCAAACAGGUUGAGAAUCACCGGGGUACUGAUGAAAUUAGGCUUCCUUAUUGGCACUCUGAAUGCCUCCUGCUUCAGGAUACAUUUGUUUUCCCUCUUUCUCUUUCGUUUCUGCUGCCUGUGGAAAUGAAGAAUAUGUUAUCUCCUUGGAUACCUGAAGACGAUUGCGCCACUUCUCUGCCUUUUCUUCCUUACGUACAAUAAUCCACUUCAUCUUUCCUCCGAGGGCUAGUUUUCACCUCGCUGAUCAACAUCGGGAAAGCUCCGCUGAGCCAUGCAAAUCUCCUGGCAGAUAAUGGUCUUUAGCUAUUUGGCCGUUCUGUGUGCACUGGCCCUAUACCAUUUUUCCUUCUUGUCACUGCUCUUUUUCUUUCCUGUGAUCCUUUUCCUCAGUGUCUGCUUAAUUUCUUCCCAAGUAGUCUGAGAUAUUUGAAAGGCAUCAUAAAAGUCCUCAGCAGACAUCUUGCUCGUAUCUGGGAUUGUGCUUCAUCCUGGGAAAGCCUUACAGGGAGAUGGUGCUGCCUAAAGAGUGAUGAGUGAGUGGAGGAAGAAAGAGAAAGAAAAUACCAUGGAGAAAGAGAAGGACUCAGGAAAAAUAAAGAUUAAAAACAGAAAGAAAAAGCCAGAUACUCAGAAGAGAUUAGAGUUUUCAUCUGUAUUCAUCACAGACCGACACAAGCUGGAGGAGCCACACCUUGAGACAGAUGAAAACCUGACACUUAGAAGCUUUUUCCAGUGCCUCCUUAAACUCACCUGCAGUGCAAAGGGAAGUCUUCAGAGUCCCACACCGAUGUGCUUCUCCUGAUGGUAGUGGUUCUUCCAGUGUGGCCAGGGACCAGUGACAUGAGAGUUGCCUGAGAACUUGUCAGAAGUACAGAUUCCUGGGUCCCACCCAGACCUGCUGAGUCAGAAGCCCUGUGGAUGGAACCCAAUAAUUUGUG